Molecule: long non-coding RNA, 2075 nt
Organism: Calidris pugnax (ruff)
Lineage: Eukaryota; Metazoa; Chordata; Aves; Charadriiformes; Scolopacidae
Exons: 3
Source: RefSeq, a predicted model, not a curated record
CGGAGUUCUCCACAUUCCUGAUCAAAAGCACGUUGCUUUUAACACAACCAUAUUGCUGCUGCAGUCGUGGUGAUGGAGGGGAGCCCUCUCUGUUGUGUGAGAAGCUGUUUUCAGAUGGGAAGAAGACUUCUGUCUUAAGCGCAGUUCCUGUUGUUAGAGGUGGAACCUUAGUAAUAUCUGAAAGAGGGACAGCAGCAAAUAGCUGAAUGCCACUGAUACCUGGAACUGACUCUGGUGUUAAUACAGAAGUUGGAUAAUUAUGCCAUUUCACUUCUCUUAGUCCUGACCACUGAGUUUAAGACACAGAGUUUAUGUCUCCAUCCACACCAAAGAAUCAAGGUUGCAGUAUUCAUUAGUGGGAUGUGUAGAGAUUAAAUUACCCCAGCAAGGUCAAGGGAAACAAUUUCCCCACUGUCCUCCAUCAAGUCAGAAAAGACCAAGAUGUCAUGCUUCUUGAAAUCUCUUCCCUUGCCUUGCCUUGCUUUGCCUCAUCUCCCCUCCUAUCCUUUUCCCUUCCCUGUGUUUUCUUUUAAAGUCCUUGUUGCAUCAGCUAUAAAACAUAAUUAGUCAGUCAUAAACGAAUGUAUAAGAUAGCUUUGCAUGUGUUCAGUGCAUUGCCCAUGUGCAACAUUCUAUUUUCAAUUUUUUUUUCUUAGAUCAUCUAAAAGCAGCAGGGUCCAAUGGACUCAGGUUACAUAUAUUUUACAGAAACAGGGCACAUAUGUGAUUAUUGGAAGAAAAAAAAUGUUUUGAAGUAAUUGCCUACAAAAAAAAGCACAGGGGCUUGAAUUUCUUGCAUAAAUAGCUCAGAUCUCUUCAGCACUCCUGUGAUUUACAGUAAUGUAGUGCUACUAGCUUUCAGUAUACAAACAAGUAUACAAGAUGGCAAUAAAUUUAAGUCCUCCUAAGUUUGUUCUUUUAACAUGUGAAUAUGAAGAAGCACAAACACGAAUAAAACUGACAGUACCUGAUAGUCUGCAUUAAGAAUGAUACCUCUACCUUCCAUGAAGUUGCUAUUUCCAUUUCCAGUGACAUUGCUUAUGUUGAGACAAAGUCAGUCAGUACAACCAUCGCUUUGAUGGGGCCCUGGCUACGCCAGCUCUUCUACUUGCCCAAACUUGCAAACUUCCCAUCAAGUGCGGAGGUCUUUAACAAUCUCUAAGGCAGUAUGAUCACAUAUCGUCCUUCUGAGAGAGUCAUCUUCUGGGCUGUGAUUUUGUUACCAGAAUCAAGGCUGCUACAAUCAGGUGGUUGUCGUAAUGCACUGCAGCAAAAGUUGUUAUAAGAUGUACAGACAGACUUUUCACCACAAGAUACUCUUUGAUCUCAUGUGCAAGAAAGAAGAAAUAAUUGUUAAUUCAGCUACAACAUUUUAAAGUGCUCAACAAAACUAACUAUAUUCUACCUGUGCUAUAGAGAUUUUUCUGUGUAAAGAACAAACAUAAGGAGAAGGAAACAUGCAGAAUUAAUUGUUAUUAUUUUUAUCUAAACAGGUGCCAUUUACGCUUAAAAAGUGACACUUGCAUGAAGAUGUAUAUGUGUGUUCUCAGCUAAUGAAGUUUAACCAUUUCACUUUGAUUAUGCAUGUUAUUGUCCUUCAGAAGAAAACAUCAACAUUGGUGUUUAUGACUUACACACUUACCGAAUAAUGAAAGCAUACUGCAUCUUCAUAAAACAUUUUCUUCAACGAGCUGGCACCAGGAAUGGUUUAGAAGAACCCAAAAUAGAGGUGUCAUUGGCUACGUGUGAAGGAACACAUGCUGGAAAAGAUCAAAUAGUUCCCAUUAAAAGGUAUAUGACUUUACAGCUUAGAUGUACUACAUGUCAAAAUUAAGUAAAGGAAACACUUAGACCACCUCAUCCCCCAAGGGAAUGAGAAUGAGGUUUAAUCUUUUUAUUUUAAAAAUAUCAAAGAGCUACUGUUAAGACAAAUACAGCACGAACCUCAGACACACUAAUCACAAAAUAACCCCACAACCAUUUUCUAGAAAUGAAAAUAAAAAUACAAAUCUGGAAAUAUUCUGCUGAGAGAUGAAUUUUCAAAAUAUGCCAUUUUUCCUUCAAAAGUGAUCUCA